Molecule: ribosomal RNA, 500 nt
Filed under: Ganoderma guangxiense
Lineage: Eukaryota; Fungi; Basidiomycota; Agaricomycetes; Polyporales; Polyporaceae
Description: SSU rRNA
Rfam family: Bacterial small subunit ribosomal RNA
Source: RNAcentral
UCAUAGAAUUUUUUUAAGUUCAUGAUGUCGUAAGGGAAAAUAAUGAUAAUACCUUACUAUGAGUGUCGUCCAAAUCUGGUGCCAGAAGACUCGGUAAGACCAGAGACGCAAACGUUAAUCAUCAUAAACAGGCGUAAAGGGUUUGUAGGCAGCUUUUAUAAAAAAUUUAAAGGUAAUUUAAUUGAAAGCUAGAAUCAAAAAGAGGUUAUAGUGUAUAACGCCUAGAGGAGGGCUGAUAUCCGUAGAUCCUAGGCAGAAUACUCAGGGCGAAGGCCACUCUCCACUAAUGAUUGACGCUGAGAAACGAAGGUUAGGGUAGGAAAUAGGAUUAGAUACCCCGGUACUCCUUUCUGUAAACGAUGAAUGGUAGUCAUUAGUUAAAUUAAAUAACUAGAGGCGAAGUUAACACAAUAACCAUUCCGCCUUGUGAGUACUACUGCAAAGUAGAAAACAAAAAAAUUAGUCGGUCUCGAAGCAAACGGAGUGAAGCAUGUUAUUUA